This 433-nucleotide ribosomal RNA is filed under the name uncultured bacterium. Its description in RNAcentral is "partial 16S ribosomal RNA". It matches the Rfam family "Bacterial small subunit ribosomal RNA", at positions 29 to 507 of the family's 1533-position model. The record is from RNAcentral.
AACGAACGCUGGCGGCAUGCCUAACACAUGCAAGUCGAACGAGACCUUCGGGUCUAGUGGCGCACGGGUGCGUAACGCGUGGGAACCUGCCCUUAGGUUCGGAAUAACUCCCCGAAAGGGGUGCUAAUACCGGGUAAUUUCUGCGGACCAAAGAUUUAUCGCCUUUGGAUGGGCCCGCGUUGGAUUAGCUAGUUGGUAGGGUAAAAGCCUACCAAGGCGACGAUCCAUAGCGGGUCUGAGAGGAUGAUCAGCCACACUGGGACUGAGACACGGCCCAGAAUACUACGGGAGGCAGCAGUGGGGAAUAUUGGACAAUGGGGGAAAGCCUGAUCCAGCAAUGCCGCGUGAGUGAUGAAGGCCUUAGGGUUGUACAGCUCUUUUACCCGGGAUGAUAAUGACAGUACCGGGAGAAUAAGCUCCGGCUAACUUCGUG